CCCCCCCCGCCGGCCCUCCCACCCCACCCCACGCGCCGCCGCCGGCCGCGCGGCACGACGGCCUCCCCGCCGGUCCUAGGAACCGGCGCGUUCUUCCUCUCUGUGAGGCAGGCGACGGCAACGACACAAUCGGCAUACGGGCUCUGGAACCGGCAGCGGAGUGAGGAACUGAGUUCUACUUGUUUCUCGGGCAGUCAUUGCGGCCCGUCGCCGGUCCUCUAGUCGCGCCGUGGGCUCGCCGCAACCGCCUCCUCAACGAGCCCGUCCGUGCUGGUCCCCCCCAACGGCGCCGUCCCCGCUGGUCCUCCCCAACGGCCCGGUCCCUGCUGGUCCUCUUCAAGGCGUCAUCCCUGCUCCUCGGCGCUGCGACGUCCCUACUGCUCCUUCCCGUGGCAAGAUUGAUGACUGGAGAGAUAUUGUAAUGCCUAAGGACCAAAUAGAACCACCCAGAGUAAGAACUUUGGGUGCCAACACAACACUCAGGCUUUGGUCAUGAGAACAUGGAAAACGUCUACUCGGACACUGCCACGUAUGUUGUUACCAGUAUUACCAAUAUCCUGACAACCCAUCUCAGUUUUCAUGGUUCUUGCUGCCAUACUUAUGUUAUUUUAAAUGCGGUAAUUACAGUACUUUGAAUGGUCAAAGACUGAAAACUCCAGUGUCACGAAGAAGCGCCCUGCAAGCUUUUAUCAUUUAACAGAAGAUGACGAACCCAUAACAAACAUGCUGGAGACCCUUGUCAAUUUAGCACCUGUGCUGGACUAGAGAAUCUUCAGCUCAUCAAAGCCAUCAUUUAUUAAAACGAUGUGAAACAGGACUUUAAAACAGUAUUUUCCCUCUAUGUGCUGUUAGAAUCAAGAUGAUGAGAUGUAGUGUAGGUACUAUGUUGACCAUGUGUUAAGUUUCUGACUGUAUGUAACAAGCUCUUAGCUGUACCUAGUUGCAGGCGUGCAGCUUGGCACCUUGAACUAAUCUGAAUACUUUCAUGGUUCGCCCAUCUAUUAGUGUUAGUACUUGUGGUGGUCUGCUCAAGCCUGGAAUGGUUGGUAGAACAAAGCAUGAACCUGCUAUGUAUUUUUGUGGAAUUAGAUGCCAUAAACAUAUGGAGGACAGGUUCUGCUAAUGUUAUCUGGUGAUGGAACCCCUUUCUGUUCC
Phragmites australis (common reed) is the source of this 1155-nucleotide long non-coding RNA. RefSeq lists it as uncharacterized. The record is from RefSeq and is a predicted model, not a curated record. The transcript is spliced from 3 exons. Lineage: Eukaryota; Viridiplantae; Streptophyta; Magnoliopsida; Poales; Poaceae.